RNAcentral lists this ribosomal RNA (253 nucleotides) under uncultured bacterium. RNAcentral describes it as "partial 16S ribosomal RNA". It matches the Rfam family "Bacterial small subunit ribosomal RNA", at positions 524 to 776 of the family's 1533-position model. The record is from RNAcentral.
UACGUAGGGUGCAAGCGUUGUUCGGAUUUACUGGGCGUAAAGCGCGCGUAGGCGGCGUGACAAGUCACUUGUGAAAUCUCCGGGCUUAACUCGGAACUGCCAAGUGAUACUGUCGUGCUAGAGUGCAGAAGGGGCAAUCGGAAUUCUUGGUGUAGCGGUGAAAUGCGUAGAUAUCAAGAGGAACACCUGAGGUGAAGACGGGUUGCUGGGCUGACACUGACGCUGAGGCGCGAAAGCUAGGGGAGCAAACGGG